Molecule: non-coding RNA, 830 nt
Filed under: Adelophryne pachydactyla
Lineage: Eukaryota; Metazoa; Chordata; Amphibia; Anura; Eleutherodactylidae
Source: RNAcentral
GUCAAUUAUCACUCGACUUAUACAUGCAAGUCUCCGCACCCCAGUGAAAACGCCCUCAACCCCCUCAUGGGGCCGAGGAGCUGGUAUCAGGCUCAACUUCCUGCCUAAAACAUCUAGCCCCGCCACACCCACAAGGGCCCUUGCAGCAGUGAUUAAUCUUGAAUAUAAGCGUCAGCUUGAUUCAGUUAGAGUGAAAAUGGAGCUGGCAAAGUUAGUGCCAGUCGCCUCGGAUAUACUACAUCAGCCCAAAUUGACUUACUUCGGCGUAAAGCGUGAUCAAAUAUACUAAUACACUAGAGUUAAACUAGACAACUGUCCAAUAGGAAUCUCAACCACGAAAGUAACUCUACUCCACUUUGACUUCACGACAACUAGGACCCAAACUGGGAAUAGGAACCCCACUAUGCCUAGUCGUAAACUUUAACUUACACCACAACCGCCCGGGAACUACGAGCAAAGCUUAAAACCCAAGGGACUUGACGGUGACCCACAGACCCUAGAGGAGCCUGUCCUAUAAUCGAUGAUCCGCGUUAAACCUCACCAUUUCUAGCUUAUCAACCCGUAUACCUCCGUCGUCAGCCGUCCACCUGAGUGCAAUAAAGCGAAGCUCAAUGUUCCCAAGCUACACUUAAGCUGGUUAGAUCUAAUACAUCUAUAUAAACAAUACGUCAGGUCAAGGUGCCGUCAAUGAAAUGGGAAGAGAUGGGCUACACUUUCUAAUAUAGAAAACCGAAAGACACCCUGAAACUGGUGUCAGAAGAAGGAUUUAGGAGUAAAACAACUAUAGAAUGGUUUUUUUAACCUGUUCAUUGGGUCGUGUACUAACCGCC